Molecule: small nucleolar RNA, 79 nt
Organism: Gigantopelta aegis
Lineage: Eukaryota; Metazoa; Mollusca; Gastropoda; Neomphalida; Peltospiridae
Product: small nucleolar RNA SNORD24
Exons: 1
Source: RefSeq, a predicted model, not a curated record
UGCCAGUGAUGUGAUUUAUAUAUUUGCUAUUCUUGACUACUUACAUGAUGAGUACAUUUCACCACAAAUUUCUGAGGCA